RNAcentral lists this transfer RNA (29 nucleotides) under Campanula petraea. Its description in RNAcentral is "partial tRNA-Leu". Lineage: Eukaryota; Viridiplantae; Streptophyta; Magnoliopsida; Asterales; Campanulaceae. The record is from RNAcentral.
AAAAUCCGUCGAUUUUGAAAAUCGUGAGG